GACGAACGCUGGCGGCGUGCUUAACACAUGCAAGUCGAACGGAAAGGCCCUGCUUUUGUGGGGUGCUCGAGUGGCGAACGGGUGAGUAACACGUGAGUAACCUGCCCUUGACUUUGGGAUAACUUCAGGAAACUGGGGCUAAUACCGGAUACGAGCUCCUGCUGCAUGGUGGGGGUUGGAAAGUUUCGGCGGUUGGGGAUGGACUCGCGGCUUAUCAGCUUGUUGGUGGGGUAGUGGCUUACCAAGGCUUUGACGGGUAGCCGGCCUGAGAGGGUGACCGGCCACAUUGGGACUGAGAUACGGCCCAGACUCCUACGGGAGGCAGCAGUGGGGAAUAUUGCACAAUGGGCGGAAGCCUGAUGCAGCAACGCCGCGUGCGGGAUGACGGCCUUCGGGUUGUAAACCGCUUUCGCCUGUGACGAAGCGUGAGUGACGGUAAUGGGUGAAGAAGCACCGGCUAACUACGUG
Molecule: ribosomal RNA, 468 nt
Filed under: uncultured bacterium
Lineage: Bacteria
Description: partial 16S ribosomal RNA
Rfam family: Bacterial small subunit ribosomal RNA
Source: RNAcentral